GAUGAACGCUGGCGGCGUGCCUAAUACAUGCAAGUCGAGCGAACAGACGAGGAGCUUGCUCCUCUGACGUAAGCGGCGGACGGGUGAGUAACACGUGGAUAACCUACCUAUAAGACUGGGAUAACUUCGGGAAACCGGAGCUAAUACCGGAUAAUAUAUUGAACCGCAUGGUUCAAUAGUGAAAGACGGUUUUGCUGUCACUUAUAGAUGGAUCCGCGCCGCAUUAGCUAGUUGGUAAGGUAACGGCUUACCAAGGCAACGAUGCGUAGCCGACCUGAGAGGGUGAUCGGCCACACUGGAACUGAGACACGGUCCAGACUCCUACGGGAGGCAGCAGUAGGGAAUCUUCCGCAAUGGGCGAAAGCCUGACGGAGCAACGCCGCGUGAGUGAUGAAGGUCUUCGGAUCGUAAAACUCUGUUAUUAGGGAAGAACAAAUGUGUAAGUAACUAUGCACGUCUUGACGGUACCUAAUCAGUAAGCCACGGCUAACUACGUG
Molecule: ribosomal RNA, 497 nt
Filed under: uncultured bacterium
Lineage: Bacteria
Description: partial 16S ribosomal RNA
Rfam family: Bacterial small subunit ribosomal RNA
Source: RNAcentral